UUCAAGGAGUAGGAAGGAGAAAGACAUAAUUUUCUCGCCACUUGAGUCGGCGAGAUUUGUGAGCAAGGAAACCGCAUUAGUGUUGGUUAAGUCAGGGUUGGGUUAAGAAGAAAUCGAUGAGUUUGCUUUUAUUUUAAUCUAAACCUGCAAAAUGAACGCUCUUCCGCUGCUCGUCGUGGGGGCAACGCUGCUGAUCUUCUCAACAACAGAUGGCGCUGGCAGUGUCGGCUCUUGGUCCCAAGUGGUCGAAAAGUCGCCCGAGAAGAAACAUGUCACGGCGCACGCGAACGGCGAGAGGCGAGGUUCUCCGUGGGCGCCAGAC
Long non-coding RNA from Hyalella azteca, 322 nucleotides. RefSeq lists it as uncharacterized. Lineage: Eukaryota; Metazoa; Arthropoda; Malacostraca; Amphipoda; Hyalellidae. The transcript has 3 exons. The record is from RefSeq and is a predicted model, not a curated record.